Molecule: transfer RNA, 67 nt
Filed under: Spermophilus dauricus (Daurian ground squirrel)
Lineage: Eukaryota; Metazoa; Chordata; Mammalia; Rodentia; Sciuridae
Rfam family: tRNA
About the family: Transfer RNA (tRNA) molecules are approximately 80 nucleotides in length. Their secondary structure includes four short double-helical elements and three loops (D, anti-codon, and T loops). Further hydrogen bonds mediate the characteristic L-shaped molecular structure. tRNAs have two regions of fundamental functional importance: the anti-codon, which is responsible for specific mRNA codon recognition, and the 3' end, to which the tRNAs corresponding amino acid is attached (by aminoacyl-tRNA synthetases). tRNAs cope with the degeneracy of the genetic code in two manners: having more than one tRNA (with a specific anti-codon) for a particular amino acid; and 'wobble' base-pairing, i.e. permitting non-standard base-pairing at the 3rd anti-codon position.
Source: Rfam by way of RNAcentral
GGUUGUGGCUCAGUGGUAGAGCGCUUGCCUAGCAUGUAUGAGGCACUGGGUUCGAUUCUCAGCACCA